AUUGAACGCUGGCGGCAGGCCUAACACAUGCAAGUCGAGCGGUAGAGAGAAGCUUGCUUCUCUUGAGAGCGGCGGACGGGUGAGUAAUGCCUUGGAAUCUGCCUGGUAGUGGGGGAUAACGUUCGGAAACGGACGCUAAUACCGCAUACGUCCUACGGGAGAAAGCAGGGGACCUUCGGGCCUUGCGCUAUCAGAUGAGCCUAGGUCGGAUUAGCUAGUUGGUGGGGUAAUGGCUCACCAAGGCGACGAUCCGUAACUGGUCUGAGAGGAUGAUCAGUCACACUGGAACUGAGACACGGUCCAGACUCCUACGGGAGGCAGCAGUGGGGAAUAUUGGACAAUGGGCGAAAGCCUGAACCAGCCAUGCCGCGUGUGUGAAGAAGGUCUUCGGAUUGUAAAGCACUUUAAGUUGGGGGGAAGGGCAGUAAAUUAAUACUUUGCUGUUUUGACGUUACCGACAGAAUAAGCACCGGCUAACUCUGUG
This 484-nucleotide ribosomal RNA is filed under the name uncultured bacterium. RNAcentral describes it as "partial 16S ribosomal RNA". It matches the Rfam family "Bacterial small subunit ribosomal RNA", at positions 30 to 507 of the family's 1533-position model. The record is from RNAcentral.